GACGAACGCUGGCGGCGUGCUUAACACAUGCAAGUCGAACGAAGAGCGAUGGAAGCUUGCUUCUAUCAAUCUUAGUGGCGAACGGGUGAGUAACGCGUAAUCAACCUGCCCUUCAGAGGGGGACAACAGUUGGAAACGACUGCUAAUACCGCAUACGAUCUGACCUCGGCAUCGAGGAUAGAUGAAAGGUGGCCUCUAUUUAUAAGCUAUCACUGAAGGAGGGGAUUGCGUCUGAUUAGCUAGUUGGAGGGGUAACGGCCCACCAAGGCGAUGAUCAGUAGCCGGUCUGAGAGGAUGAACGGCCACAUUGGGACUGAGACACGGCCCAGACUCCUACGGGAGGCAGCAGUGGGGAAUCUUCCGCAAUGGACGAAAGUCUGACGGAGCAACGCCGCGUGAGUGAUGACGGCCUUCGGGUUGUAAAGCUCUGUUAAUCGGGACGAAAGGCCUUCUUGCGAAUAGUUAGAAGGAUUGACGGUACCGGAAGAGAAAGCCACGGCUAACUACGUG
This 510-nucleotide ribosomal RNA is filed under the name uncultured bacterium. RNAcentral's name for it is "partial 16S ribosomal RNA". It matches the Rfam family "Bacterial small subunit ribosomal RNA", at positions 28 to 507 of the family's 1533-position model. The record is from RNAcentral.